CACGUAGGGCGCAAGCGUUGUCCGGAAUUAUUGGGCGUAAAGAGCUCGUAGGCGGUCUGUUGCGUCCGCUGUGAAAACUCGGGGCUUAACCCCGAGCCUGCAGUCGAUACGGGCAGGCUAGAGUUCGGCAGGGGAGACUGGAAUUCCUGGUGUAGCGGUGAAAUGCGCAGAUAUCAGGAGGAACACCGGUGGCGAAGGCGGGUCUCUGGGCCGAUACUGACACUGAGGAGCGAAAGCGUGGGGAGCGAACAGG
RNAcentral lists this ribosomal RNA (253 nucleotides) under uncultured bacterium. RNAcentral describes it as "partial 16S ribosomal RNA". It matches the Rfam family "Bacterial small subunit ribosomal RNA", at positions 524 to 776 of the family's 1533-position model. The record is from RNAcentral.